CAGCCGCCACGGGAAUACAGAGGGUGCGAGCGUUAAUCGGAUUUACUGGGCGUAAAGCGUGCGUAGGCGGCUUCUUAAGUCGGAUGUGAAAUCCCUGAGCUUAACUUAGGAAUUGCAUUCGAUACUGGGAAGCUAGAGUAUGGGAGAGGAUGGUAGAAUUCCAGGUGUAGCGGUGAAAUGCGUAGAGAUCUGGAGGAAUACCGAUGGCGAAGGCAGCCAUCUGGCCUAAUACUGACGCUGAGGUACGAAAGCAUGGGGAGCGAACAGGAUUAGAUACCCGGGUAGUCCCUGUCUCUUAUAC
This 301-nucleotide ribosomal RNA is filed under the name uncultured bacterium. Its description in RNAcentral is "partial 16S ribosomal RNA". It matches the Rfam family "Bacterial small subunit ribosomal RNA", at positions 509 to 807 of the family's 1533-position model. The record is from RNAcentral.